AUCACUUCUCGGCCUUUGGCUAAGAUCAAGUGUAGUAUCUGUUCUUAUCAGUUUAAAGUUGAAAUAUAACAACAGUUGGCUUUAAAUAUUAAAAAAUUUAAAAUCUCU
Molecule: small nuclear RNA, 108 nt
Filed under: Suricata suricatta (meerkat)
Lineage: Eukaryota; Metazoa; Chordata; Mammalia; Carnivora; Herpestidae
Description: U2 spliceosomal RNA (ENSSSUG00005020859.1)
Rfam family: U2 spliceosomal RNA
About the family: U2 is a small nuclear RNA (snRNA) component of the spliceosome (involved in pre-mRNA splicing). Complementary binding between U2 snRNA (in an area lying towards the 5' end but 3' to hairpin I) and the branchpoint sequence (BPS) of the intron results the bulging out of an unpaired adenosine, on the BPS, which initiates a nucleophilic attack at the intronic 5' splice site, thus starting the first of two transesterification reactions that mediate splicing.
Source: RNAcentral